RNAcentral lists this ribosomal RNA (371 nucleotides) under uncultured bacterium. RNAcentral describes it as "bacterial SSU rRNA". It matches the Rfam family "Bacterial small subunit ribosomal RNA", at positions 328 to 696 of the family's 1533-position model. The record is from RNAcentral.
GUACCAGACUCCUACGGGAGGCAGCAGUGAGGAAUAUUGGUCAAUGGGCUUACGCCUGAACCAGCCAAGUCGCGUGAGGGAAGACUGCCCUAUGGGUUGUAAACCUCUUUUGUCAAGGAGCAACGCCGGCUACGUGUAGCCGGACUGAGAAUACCUGAAGAAAAAGCACCGGCUAACUCCGUGCCAGCAGCCGCGGUAAUACGGAGGAUGCGAGCGUUAUCCGGAUUUAUUGGGUUUAAAGGGGGCGUAGGCGGCAUGCCAAGUGAGCGGUAAAAUACGGGGGCUCAACCUGGGUCCGCCGUUGAAACUGGCGUUCUUGAGUGGGCGAGAAGUAUGCGGAAUGCGUGGUGUAGCGGUGAAAUGCAUAGAUA